RNAcentral lists this ribosomal RNA (426 nucleotides) under uncultured bacterium. RNAcentral's name for it is "bacterial SSU rRNA". It matches the Rfam family "Bacterial small subunit ribosomal RNA", at positions 354 to 777 of the family's 1533-position model. The record is from RNAcentral.
GUGAGGAAUAUUGGUCAAUGGGCGCGAGCCUGAACCAGCCAAGUAGCGUGAAGGAUGAAGGUCCUACGGAUUGUAAACUUCUUUUAUAAGGGAAUAAAGUCACCCACGUGUGGGUGUUUGUAUGUACCUUAUGAAUAAGCAUCGGCUAACUCCGUGCCAGCAGCCGCGGUAAUACGGAGGAUGCGAGCGUUAUCCGGAUUUAUUGGGUUUAAAGGGAGCGUAGACGGGUCGUUAAGUCAGCUGUGAAAGUUCGGGGCUCAACCUUGAAAUUGCAGUUGAUACUGGCGUCCUUGAGUACGGUUGAGGCAGGCGGAAUUCGUGGUGUAGCGGUGAAAUGCUUAGAUAUCACGAAGAACCCCGAUUGCGAAGGCAGCCUGCUAAACCGCCACUGACGUUGAGGCUCGAAAGUGUGGGUAUCAAACAGGA